RNAcentral lists this ribosomal RNA (233 nucleotides) under uncultured bacterium. Its description in RNAcentral is "partial 16S ribosomal RNA". It matches the Rfam family "Bacterial small subunit ribosomal RNA", at positions 103 to 334 of the family's 1533-position model. The record is from RNAcentral.
CGGGUGAGUAACGCGUGAGGAACCUGCCUCGAAGAGGGGGACAACAGUUGGAAACGGCUGCUAAUACCGCAUAAGCCCACGGCUCGGCAUCGAGCAGAGGGAAAAGGAGCAAUCCGCUUUGAGAUGGCCUCGCGUCCGAUUAGCUAGUUGGUGAGGUAAUGGCCCACCAAGGCAACGAUCGGUAGCCGGACUGAGAGGUUGAACGGCCACAUUGGGACUGAGACACGGCCCAG